AUUGAACGCUGGCGGCAGGCCUAACACAUGCAAGUCGAGCGGAUGAAGGGAGCUUGCUCCUGGUUUCAGCGGCGGACGGGUGAGUAAUGCCUAUGAAUCUGCCUGGUAGUGGGGGAUAACGUCCGGAAACGGGCGCUAAUACCGCAUACGUCCUGAGGGAGAAAGUGGGGGAUCUUCGGACCUCACGCUAUCAGAUGAGCCUAGGUCGGAUUAGCUAGUUGGUGGGGUAAAGGCCUACUAAGGCGACGAUCCGUAACUGGUCUGAGUGGAUGAGCAGUCACACUGGAACUGAGACACGGUCCAGACUCCUACGGGAGGCAGCAGUGGGGAAUAUUGGACAAUGGGCGAAAGCAUGAUCCAGCGAUGCCGCGUGUGUGAAGAAGGUCUUCGGAUUGUAAAGCACUUUAAGUUGGGAGGAAGGGCAGUAAGUUAAUACCUUGCUGUUUUGACGUUACCAACAGAAUAAGCACCGGCUAACUUCGUG
RNAcentral lists this ribosomal RNA (484 nucleotides) under uncultured bacterium. RNAcentral's name for it is "partial 16S ribosomal RNA". It matches the Rfam family "Bacterial small subunit ribosomal RNA", at positions 30 to 507 of the family's 1533-position model. The record is from RNAcentral.